GCCCCUAGCAACACAUAAGUAUUAGGGGUAACGCCUGCCCAGUGACACUGUUAAACGGCCGCGGUAUCCUAACCGUGCAAAGGUAGCAUAAUCACUUGUCUUUUAAAUAAAGACUGGAAUGAAUGGCCAAACGAGGUUCUACCUGUCUCUUACAAAUAAUCAGUGAAAUUGAUCUCCCCGUGCAAAAGCAGGGAUAAAACCAUAAGACGAGAAGACCCUGUGGAACUUCAAAUACAAGUCAACUCUCAUAAAAAACACCUACCCACGGGCCCACAUCUAUCAGCACCUGACUUAUAUUUUUCGGUUGGGGCGACCUCGGAGCAAAACAAAACCUCCGAAAAAGAACUAUAUCUAAACCUAGACCUACAACCCAAAGUGCCUCCGGCAAAACGAUCCAAUAUACUUGAUCAACGAACCAAGCUACCCCAGGGAUAACAGCGCAAUCCCAUCCUAGAGUUCCUAUCGACGAUGGGGUUUACGACCUCGAUGUUGGAUCAGGACAUCCUGAUGGUGCAGCCGCUAUCAAGGGUUCGUUUGUUCAACGAUUAAUAGUCCUACGUGA
This 562-nucleotide ribosomal RNA is filed under the name Batagur trivittata (Burmese roofed turtle). RNAcentral describes it as "partial 16S ribosomal RNA". It matches the Rfam family "Bacterial large subunit ribosomal RNA", at positions 1818 to 2603 of the family's 2925-position model. Lineage: Eukaryota; Metazoa; Chordata; Testudines; Geoemydidae. The record is from RNAcentral.